UACGUAGGGGGCAAGCGUUGUCCGGAAUUAUUGGGCGUAAAGCGCGCGCAGGUGGUGGAUUAAGUUGUGGGUAAAAGGCAAUGGCUCAACCAUUGUAAGCCUGCAAAACUGGUUCACUUGAGUGCAGGAGGGGGGAGUGGAAUUCCCGGUGUAGCGGUGGAAUGCGUAGAGAUCGGGAGGAACACCAGUGGCGAAGGCGACUCUCUGGCCUGUAACUGACACUGAGGCGCGAAAGCGUGGGGAGCGAACAGG
Molecule: ribosomal RNA, 252 nt
Filed under: uncultured bacterium
Lineage: Bacteria
Description: partial 16S ribosomal RNA
Rfam family: Bacterial small subunit ribosomal RNA
Source: RNAcentral